AUACGAACCGUCCAAACGUUAUUCGGAAUCAUUGGGCUUAAAGGGUGCGUAGGCGGUGCGGUAAGUUGGGUGUGAAAUCCCUCGGCUCAACCGGGGAACUGCGCCCAAUACUGCCGUACUCGAGGGAGACAGAGGUAAGCGGAACUGAUGGUGGAGCGGUGAAAUGCGUAGAUAUUAGAAGGAAUACCAGUGGCGAAGGCGGCCCCCUGGACCAAUACUGACACUGAGGUACGAAAGCGUGGGUAGCGAACAGGAUUAGAUACCCUAGUAGUCC
RNAcentral lists this ribosomal RNA (274 nucleotides) under uncultured bacterium. RNAcentral's name for it is "partial 16S ribosomal RNA". It matches the Rfam family "Bacterial small subunit ribosomal RNA", at positions 523 to 796 of the family's 1533-position model. The record is from RNAcentral.